CAGCAAGUGGAGGUCCCACUGAGAUCUGAGGAAAGGAGGUGCUGAUAAACCUAUCUGGAUUCCUGAAAGAUAUUGUCGAACGAUCAACCCCCUGGAAGACCAUGGAACAUCUCAACAAAAUAACAAAGGUGAUGAUCCUCAUCCUUCUGACACAGACAUGGAGCAUACAGGUAAUUGUGUCCCGAGUAGCUGCUGGAAUUCCUCUUUCACUUCUGCGCUGGUUGUGAGGAUCCCUACACUUCUUC
Molecule: long non-coding RNA, 245 nt
Organism: Nannospalax galili (Upper Galilee mountains blind mole rat)
Lineage: Eukaryota; Metazoa; Chordata; Mammalia; Rodentia; Spalacidae
Exons: 3
Source: RefSeq, a predicted model, not a curated record